AGUGAACGCUGGCGGUAGGCCUAACACAUGCAAGUCGAACGGCAGCACAGUAAGAGCUUGCUCUUACGGGUGGCGCGUGGCGGACGGGUGAGGAAUACAUCGGAAUCUACUUUUUCGUGGGGGAUAACGUAGGGAAACUUACGCUAAUACCGCAUACGACCUACGGGUGAAAGCAGGGGAUCUUCGGACCUUGCGCGAUUGAAUGAGCCGAUGUCGGAUUAGCUAGUUGGCGGGGUAAAGGCCCACCAAGGCGACGAUCCGUAGCUGGUCUGAGAGGAUGAUCCGCCACACUGGAACUGAGACACGGUCCAGACUCCUACGGGAGGCAGCAGUGGGGAAUAUUGGACAAUGGGCGCAAGCCUGAUCCAGCCAUACCGCGUGGGUGAAGAAGGCCUUCGGGUUGUAAAGCCCUUUUGUUGGGAAAGAAAAGCAGCAGGUUAAUACCCCGCUGUUCUGACGGUACCCAAAGAAUAAGCACCGGCUAACUUCGUG
This 492-nucleotide ribosomal RNA is filed under the name uncultured bacterium. RNAcentral describes it as "partial 16S ribosomal RNA". It matches the Rfam family "Bacterial small subunit ribosomal RNA", at positions 29 to 507 of the family's 1533-position model. The record is from RNAcentral.